AGCUUUGCGCAGUGGCAGUAUCAUAGCCAAUGAGGUUUAUCUGAGGCGCGAUUAUUGCUAAUUGAAACACACAACCUACCAAUUCUGAAUCAGGAAGAAAUUAAAGACCUGAAGAGACCAAUUACUAGUAAGGAAUUUGAAUC
Molecule: small nuclear RNA, 143 nt
Organism: Zalophus californianus (California sea lion)
Lineage: Eukaryota; Metazoa; Chordata; Mammalia; Carnivora; Otariidae
Gene: U4
Rfam family: U4 spliceosomal RNA
About the family: U4 small nuclear RNA (U4 snRNA) is a component of the major U2-dependent spliceosome. The structure of U4 snRNA from yeast and human has been reported.
Source: Ensembl